This is a long non-coding RNA of Centruroides sculpturatus (bark scorpion), 1157 nucleotides long. RefSeq lists it as uncharacterized. NCBI's taxonomy places the organism in Eukaryota, Metazoa, Arthropoda, Arachnida, Scorpiones, Buthidae. The record is from RefSeq and is a predicted model, not a curated record. The transcript is spliced from 3 exons.
UUCACUAUUUAGGCGUAGGGACGUGGAGAUAACGCUGAAAAUUGAUUAACCUGUGGUGCGAAGUGAAUAAAUGUAGGGGAACUACGUACAAAAUGAUAUAGCCAACAUAAUUCGAAUUUGGCGUUCUCAAGCGCGCAACUAACCACGACACCACGUUAUUCGAGUGGCUUUUACUAACCUGUCAAAAAGUGAACGUCCUCCUCUCAUUCGCCCGGGUGUCAUGGCCGACGACAAGCAUUGAUACGUUACGAGUUUUUUUUUCCUUGCAACAAGUUAUUUGUAUAGAUGGUAAAGAACCAAAGAAGAUUACUGUAGAAUAUGACAGUGCUGUGAUUUACCAAUAAAGAGUUAUGAACCUAAAUUAAAACCGUAUGUCAUUUUGUACGUAUUUACCCUACUGUCUUGUAACCUGAAGUAUUAUUUGUGUUCCUACCAGAUUUCAUUUAAAUAUCAUUUGUCAACAAAAAGAUCUUGGCAAUUACGAGUUACUUUUUGAUUCUGUCUCUAAUAACUCGACAUUAACAUGAAUUAAAAUGAAUAAUAAUGUAAAUUUCUCUCAUGUAUUUAAUUGUUCUACAGUAUCGAAAUGACACGUUAUUAUCGACACUAUACAAUAGCAAUUGGUGGCAGGUUCGCUCACCAAACGAACUGUCCAAGUGAAAUUUUUGGUGUGCAAAUCACAUAGAAUAUCACACGUACGAACGUACUUCUUGAAUCAGAAAUAAUAUUUAUAUUUAAUUUUGUAAGAAAUAAAACAGAUACACCUACGAAAUAUAACCCACCAACGAAAAAGGAUAAUGUUUUAAAAAAUAAUACACAUUGUGUAAGCUAAUAUACAAUUAUCGAUACCACUGUAUGAAUUCGAAUAAUUCGGAUCAGAAUAAGGAUAUUUCCGUCAAAAUGAAAGUAUUGAUUAUAGUGUUCCUGCUUUGUAUUUGCGAUUUAUGCUCAAUUGUUGCAAGUCGUAAACUCCCUGAAGAUACGAAAAAUGUAUAUUAUCGUCUGUGUCCAGCGGAUCUAAGACGUGGCAUUUGCCAUACUGAGUGCGUAUUUCAGAAGUGGAAUAUGUGUUAUAGAGCCGAACCUCCUUGUCGUUGUAAAUAACAAUGGAAAACGGGAAAUUUCCUAGCGAACAUUUCUUCAAAUAUUUUAUGAAU